Molecule: ribosomal RNA, 253 nt
Filed under: uncultured bacterium
Lineage: Bacteria
Description: partial 16S ribosomal RNA
Rfam family: Bacterial small subunit ribosomal RNA
Source: RNAcentral
AACGUAGGACACGAGCGUUAUCCGGAGUUACUGGGCGUAAAGGGCGUGUAGGUGGUGCGUUAAGACUGGUGUGAAAGCCUUCGGCUUAACCGAGGGAGGACACUGGUGACUGUCGGACUUGAGGCAGAUAGAGGGGUGUAGAAUUCCGGGUGUAGUGGUGAAAUGCGUAGAGAUCCGGAGGAAUACCAGAGGCGAAGGCGGCACCCUGGGUCUGACCUGACACUGAUACGCGAAAGCAUGGGGAGCGAACGGG